This 61-nucleotide small RNA is filed under the name Oryza sativa Japonica Group (Japanese rice). RNAcentral describes it as "sRNA Os11g0166932". The record is from RNAcentral. Lineage: Eukaryota; Viridiplantae; Streptophyta; Magnoliopsida; Poales; Poaceae.
UGGCAUAUCUUAAAUUUUGCAAAAUUAUAAUGGCAUGGUUCUAAUUUUUCCUUGAUUUAUU